GUUGUACAGGAGGGGGUUCACCACUGAGCUGAUGUAGAAGAAGAUGUCGGCGAUGGGAAGAAGGAUGAUGUAUGCUCUGAAGUAGGGGACAGUCCAGUCCUGCUUUGGUUUAGCAGCAGCCAUGAGCCUUCUAACCUGAUUUGGCAUCCAGCAUAUUGCCAGAGUUGCAACAAUCAGUCCUGUGAACAGAAGGAGGAAGAAAGAGAUAUAAAUACGUGUUGCUGCAUCACUAAUGGCAUUAAAAAAGGGGUGACUUAAGUGCUGGAUGUCUGAAAAUUCUGCCUCUGCGGACCAGCGUGCACUCGGUUGCAGCAGUGACGCCACCUGCAGAGCGGCAGCCCAGAAGAAACGUAAGGGCUGAACUUGAGCAGGCUCUGUUCCCAGGCGGGAGACAGGGCAGGGGGAAGGUGCGCAUAAGCGCUGGAAAUCUUGACAUCGUGCAUGAAAUACCAGGAAACGUGCCUUACAUGAACACUUAGAGGGAGCAGAAGGUGCAGGCUGGCUUCCCGGCUGCAGAGGCACAAAACUGUAGAGUACCCUGAUGGUGCACGGGUCUCACCUCCCGCAGAGUUCUGUUAAUUGUGAGUCUCCUCCAACGUCCAGCCUCCUUUCUCAGCCGAAGCACAGAAGCUUUUUAAUUCUUACCUGUCUAGACUGAGUCAGAUUGCUCCCAUUGAGCAGAUCGCUGCAGGGACGCAAUUCUGACACAGUGCACACUGAUUUUUUUCAAGCCAGGAAAAUGGUACUGCGCUAGCGGGAGGACAGGAAUGGUAACUGAGGCAGAAAAGAGAAGAAAGGUUGUUUUUUUUUUUGUAACUUUGAAACUGCCAGGGCUUAGAGAGGGUGUGUCCACGUUCUCUCCACCACCACCACCCCAGCAAAGGUAUGAAAUAUCUUUUUUCUUUUUUUUACAGAAAUUAAUUUUGUUAAUGAAAGCUAUAAUUACAUUAACAAAUUUAUGAUCUCACUAAAUGAGCUACCAAAUAAACGUCUUUUUGAUCAUUUG
Long non-coding RNA from Falco peregrinus (peregrine falcon), 1006 nucleotides. RefSeq lists it as uncharacterized. NCBI's taxonomy places the organism in Eukaryota, Metazoa, Chordata, Aves, Falconiformes, Falconidae. The record is from RefSeq and is a predicted model, not a curated record. The transcript has 3 exons.